Molecule: unclassified non-coding RNA, 154 nt
Filed under: uncultured fungus
Lineage: Eukaryota; Fungi
Description: sequence contains ITS1
Source: RNAcentral
CUGUGAACGCCGGUUCGCCGGCCUACACACCCCUUGUGUUACCCUCUGGUUGCUUCGGUGGGCCGUGUUCCGACACCAUCGCUUCGGGGAUGAGUGCCCACCGAUGACCCCCAAACUCCGGCUGACCGUUGUCUGAGUACACAUCUAAUCAACA